Gambusia affinis (western mosquitofish) is the source of this 4871-nucleotide long non-coding RNA. RefSeq lists it as uncharacterized. The record is from RefSeq and is a predicted model, not a curated record. The transcript has 3 exons. Lineage: Eukaryota; Metazoa; Chordata; Actinopteri; Cyprinodontiformes; Poeciliidae.
GCAUAUUCACUAUUGGCUCUUGGGAAUUUGCUUGGGUUAGGGCCCCUACGAUUUAUUUUCCUCUAUGUCUCAGAAAAAACACAUUUUUCAAAAAGUUGGCAUUUUCUGUAGGUCCCAGAAUUUGGGCGGGAGAGGGCUCCUACGAUUUAUUUUCCUCUAUGUCUCAGAAAAAACACAUUUUUCAAAAAGUUGGCAUUUUCUGCAGGUCUCAGAAUUUGCGCGGGAGAGGGUAUAAGACUAGACAGGGGCUGAAAUGGCCCCCUCCUUUCUGCUGUGUGUGCCCCGGCCAUGGCUGCGUGUGGCAGGGCUGACCCCUAGGCUCUGAAAGAAAGGGUUUGACCCCCAGUCCCUGCCAUCGCUGUGUGUGCGUGCGGGCGUGUGCGUGUGUGUGAGUGUGUGUGUGUGCGCAUGGGUGUCCCUGCGUAAGAGUAAACGUAUAUCUCUAAAGAAAACCUAGAGUUUAACUGUUUUACUGCAUUAUUUAUGGUAGCACGAUUAGUCAGUGCUGACUGAGUUUGUGAUUUCCUUCAUCACUUAAAUUUGGAACUCUUAUAGAUUUUUUAUUUUUCUGUAACACUUGCUAGUGUGAUACAUGUCCUUAAAAGUCCCUCAUCUGUAAAUUUAUUUCUGGGGAAUAUGUGACGGGGACUAAACAGGCCUUGGUGAAGCUACUCAUAUGUAUCUUUCAGCUUUCCCUAAAGUUGAAAAUUUUUUACAUUGCACAACCACGCUCCAAGAGUUGCUCCAACAUGGGAAUUCUUUUAUUUAUUUUUUUUUUACCUUUAACUAAUUAAUCACUACUUUUGUCUUUGAGUUAUAUGCUGUAUGUUUCUUGGCCCUAAUGAUGCUUUCCCUUCAUCCAUUAUCUUACACACUUGAGUAAUCCUGUGAAUAUAAGAACUUGUAGUAUUUACUAGCAGUCAUAUUGCCUGAAUUGUUCCACCUAAGUUUUCAGUCAGUUCACUCUUAACAACUACUUAAUUCAGUUAAACCUGAAUUGAUUCGUGUUCACAGAACCAGUUUUGCAGCUACAAUCUGAACUAGUUCUUGCUCGUUAAGCUAAAAAUAAAGCAGAAAGCACACUAUAGGUCAUGCUGUGAUUAGUUAUUUAGUUAUUACUAGUUUAUUGUAGUUAGGGCAGAUAUAAUAAAGUUAUCUAUGUUGACAGUAAUGAAAAAAGUACCCGGUCCGCCAUAAAAUGGCUUAUUGUUACAAAUAAAACGACUGUUUCACAAAGAAGUGCUUCGCAGCCAUUAUGUUGUUUUUGCUCAAAUAAAUUGCAUUUUAAAAUGUUUUAUCUAAACUGCUGCUCUUAUUCAUGUAUUUUAACUGUUUAAUCUACAAUAAACAAAACGUUUUAAUGAAAAGCAUUUUUGUAACUGCGCUUACCUUUUACCUUCUUAUUACCAUUAAGUCAGUCCUUAUAUCGAGUUGCUAUAUUGAUAUAGAACACAAUAAGAAUCCAAUUACAAUCCUUUGAGUCUGACAAUCUCAAAGGGGAGUGAAGGCAAGAAAAUAUAACAAUAAAAAGUUCAAAUCUGUAAUUUUUGAAGAUAUCGCAAAUGCCUGCAUAACUAAAAUCCCUGUAGUACCUGGAUUUCUAUCGAUUUAUUGAAUGUGUAAAUAUUUAUGAAUGGCCAUUCAGGUUUUAUAUAGUUUUUUUUUCUUUCUUUUGGUGUUUGUUGCACAAAUUUAAAUAUAUGAAGGAUAUCAACCAACAAUUCAAUCAAUGAAUUUGUGUUUUUUUCUUAAAUACUCCCUCUCACGGUGAAUUGCUUACAUCUUCUGACAGCUAGUCCAACUUAUGAUAACAUUGACUAGGUUUGCUAUUGGUACACUUUACCUAAAAAUAAAAAUUAAACAUACUCACUACACAACCGUGCUCCAAGAGUUGGUCACAAUAUGGUGAAUUGUUUUGUUGCCGAUAAAAUUAUCUACAGCUUUUGUUCCUUGGUCCUAAUGAUGCCGUCUGUUCACUAAUGUUCACUAACAGACAGUGCGCCUCUUGUAAUUGAUAAGCUUAUAAAUGAUCAAUGCAAAGCAUCAGUAUGCGUUAAAGAAGAUCUAUCAGUCAGAUUAAGUCAAAUUUCAUCAAACUCAAAGCAAUCAAAAUUCUAUUUCUCUGAAAGGUAAUCUUUCCUUUUCAGGGACUGUAUGAAAGGAAUCAUUGAAAUAUAUUAUGAAAUAUACUAUGAAAUAUUUAAUUUGCAGAAUCCCCAUAAUAAAACUUCAAUUGUGAAAUGAAUGAUUACAUUGCAUCUAGACACAAAAUAAUCAACUGUUAAUUAGUAAUCGUGCUAUGUAAAUGACUAACAAGAUCUGAUCAGACAAGAAACUUGACCACCUAAAGUGAUUUCUCACAUUGAACCGUCUGACUUUCUGUAGCCGACUAAAUUUAACCUUACCAAAGUUUUGCCUUAGAGCAAACAGGUACUGAGUAUGAAGCGUGGAUCAGACGCCUUCAGCCAUCUGCUAAAGCUAGACUCCGGCCUUCCUCACUGUAAAAUAAAACAUCACACUUAAAAAAAGUUCAAGUGAACAUCCCUUAAUUAUUAUCAACUUAUUGUUUGUACUCAUCUUAAACAAGUGGCAGGAACGUUUGGUUAAAAAAUAAAGCUUUACAAGUCAAUCUAUUUAAGUUGAGUCCAUGCAACAACUAAAAUAAAAAGUGAACUAUUUGAAAGUAGCGAGGAUUUUGGGUGGUAAAAGUUUAACAUCUUAACACAUCCAGACACUACCUCAUUUCUGCUCAAACAAACGGAAAAAUUUUGAAUAGUACAACUAUGUCAAAUAAUGAGACCGUGUGUCUUUAAUCUAUGUAACAAAUAUAUUGCUGCUGCUGCUGUAGGCAGAAAAUAAAAGAAGUUUUGCAGAGAAUAACAUUUUGAAUGAGUUUAAGAAUAUUGUUUGCCAAAAUCACACAGUGUAACUACACUUGUCUUUUAUAUGAUGCAGUAAUUGAAUCUUUUAAGGCAAUUGGUUCGCAUAAAUGUAAGUAAAUACAACCUAUUUUCCUGCUCCACAUACUUGGCUAGCAGUUUGCCAAUUAACUUCCCAGUCUGAACUUCUGGGCAACGUCUUGAUUCAGUCAAAUCUUCUAUCCUAGAUCUCCUGAACUCCAACAUUCUUUUACAUAUCGGUACAUAUGUGAAUGUUUGGCUUGCUGGUCUUCAGCAUGCUUUGAAUGCAGUAUCUGGUUUCUCUUACUUUAACCCGCCCAACUUGCACCUGAUUGGCAUGUUAGUCUUUUGAUUCCCUCCCAGUGAGGCGGUGCUUCACAAAGCAAACUGUUUGUCAAACCGUUGAUCUGCCUGGUGGCUGUUUCAGAAGAUGAGGAAACACGGUGACUGAGUUUUAGACAGUACUGGUCAGUUCAAGCAGCUGCUCAUGUAGCUGCUCAUGUAGCUUUUUUUUUUUUUUUUACUGGAUGGCAGUCCUAAAAGUAUAUAUCUUUAAAAUAUGAAUAAAUACGUACAAUUCCAUAGUUAUUUGAUCCAGCGGUUAUAGAAGUUUGGUAAUAAUGCAAUUCUGGCAUUGUGCUUUCUUAAUGUAAGUAUUUCUGCUACUGGACAAGAAAAAGUGUUAAAAGAGGAUUUAGAAAGAAAAAUGCAAAGAUGAUAUUUGUAUUUACUGAGUGCAAGGCUGUGACUAGUUAUCAGGACAGAAUGAGAACUGAAAAACUGUUGGGUCCACAUGACCAAGGAGGGAACCGGUCAUCUGCUCCAACAAUUUAUUAGUCUUUAGGAAAUAUUUUUGGACACAAGGAGCAGGAACAUAACAACAUCAGAUGUAUUUUUCAUCCUUAUAUCAGUGAUUUAAAACUAUAUUUAAUUUUGCAUCAUCUUAUUUUUCACCCAUAGAAAAGUCUAAUGUGUUUAUUAUGAGUAGGAUUAACCAAGCUGAAGAAGAGAAAAGAGAAAUAAAUAUUCAUUGGUACAGAAUCGAAUCAGCAGAUAUAAACUUAUGAAACUAUUGAAACUUUCAAGAAUUUUAUGUUGUGUAAGGUAUUUAAGAAAAUAAUACUGAAUCUGUGCUCACAAAUUUCUUUAUCUGGUUGUUAUCUCUAAACUACGUUUACUUUUAUGUUGAACACCAGACCUCUUGCCUCUUUUUCACAGUUUUUUCACUUAGUUCCACGACUGCAGUGGAUUUUAUAGUCAAUGUUAAAAUCCAACACAGAGUCUGAAGCGAUGGAGGAAAUUUACGUCAAUAUGGAACCUGUUGGACAAACUGCAUCUGAUCACACAGGUAAGAAUGAAGUUACAGAGAAAUCUAGUAUGUAUGUUAUUCAAUUUUUUCUAAUGUUAAGGUUUUUGUUAAGGUUGGAGCAGCUCCAAAGAGAGGCUCGGCCUCGGUGUGGUCGUAUGCUUGGGAAUCCUGAAUGUUUUAAUUCUGGCUGAACUCAUAGGCCUCAGUGUACACACUCAUAACAUGACAGCAGAUUUUUCUGACAUCGGCAACAUGCUGACUGAACAGAACAGCAAGUUUCUCUCCAUGAACUCUAACUUCACUGAAACGGCGCCACGAGCUGAAGAGACUUUAAGAUCAGACAAACAUCAGUUGUUCCUGUUAAUCCAGGGGCUGCGGAAGAAGAGAAGAGCAGAUCCAGUAUUGAUGGAUGAUUAGGAUUUGUGUUCACUGUGAUAUUAUUCAUCAAUAAUAAUGUAGCUUAUUAGUAUGCUGUUACAUAAAACCGUAAAGAUAAAUUGUACGCUUCCAACUGUUGUGACUUAUAAAGCAACAAUUUUACCGGUUGUUCUCCGUGUUUCUCUUUCUUGUUAAAACUCUGACACGAUAAACAAACGUUGGAGGAUGGUUUUAUGCGGAGGAUCGUUUUAGCACGAUGCGUUCUGAUUGUGUCUUAAUGUGAC